CCUACGGGUGGCAGCAGUGAGGAAUAUUGGUCAAUGGCCGGGAGGCUGAACCAGCCAAGUCGCGUGAGGGAAGACGGCCCUACGGGUUGUAAACUUCUUUUCUGAGGGACGAAGAAAGUGACGGUACCUCAGGAAUAAGCCACGGCUAACUACGUGCCAGCAGCCGCGGUAAUACGUAGGUGGCAAGCGUUAUCCGGAUUUAUUGGGUGUAAAGGGCGUGUAGGCGGGAAAGCAAGUCAGAUGUGAAAACUCAGGGCUCAACCCUGAGCCUGCAUUUGAAACUGUUUUUCUUGAGUGCUGGAGAGGCAAUCGGAAUUCCGUGUGUAGCGGUGAAAUGCGUAGAUAUACGGAGGAACACCAGUGGCGAAGGCGGAUUGCUGGACAGUAACUGACGCUGAGGCGCGAAAGCGUGGGGAGCAAACAGGAUUAGAUACCCGAGUAGUC
This 444-nucleotide ribosomal RNA is filed under the name uncultured bacterium. RNAcentral describes it as "partial 16S ribosomal RNA". It matches the Rfam family "Bacterial small subunit ribosomal RNA", at positions 338 to 795 of the family's 1533-position model. The record is from RNAcentral.